Molecule: transfer RNA, 75 nt
Filed under: Cronobacter phage vB_CsaM_GAP32
Lineage: Duplodnaviria; Heunggongvirae; Uroviricota; Caudoviricetes
Description: tRNA-Trp
Rfam family: tRNA
About the family: Transfer RNA (tRNA) molecules are approximately 80 nucleotides in length.
Source: RNAcentral
AGGAGUAUAGUAUAACGGCUAUUAUGUGUGGCUCCAAACCACAAGAUCAGGGUUCGAUUCCUUGUGCUCCUGCAA